This 253-nucleotide ribosomal RNA is filed under the name uncultured bacterium. RNAcentral describes it as "partial 16S ribosomal RNA". It matches the Rfam family "Bacterial small subunit ribosomal RNA", at positions 524 to 776 of the family's 1533-position model. The record is from RNAcentral.
UACGUAGGGGGCAAGCGUUGUCCGGAUUUAUUGGGCGUAAAGAGCGUGUAGGCGGCCAGACAGGUCCGUUGUGAAAACUCGAGGCUCAACCUCGAGAUGUCGAUGGAAACCGUCUGGCUAGAGUCCGGAAGAGGAGUGUGGAAUUCCUGGUGUAGCGGUGAAAUGCGCAGAUAUCAGGAGGAACACCAACGGCGAAGGCAGCUCGCUGGCACGGUACUGACACUAAGGCGCGAAAGCGUGGGGAGCGAACAGG